This is a long non-coding RNA of Sebastes umbrosus (honeycomb rockfish), 420 nucleotides long. RefSeq lists it as uncharacterized. The transcript has 4 exons. The record is from RefSeq and is a predicted model, not a curated record. Lineage: Eukaryota; Metazoa; Chordata; Actinopteri; Perciformes; Sebastidae.
UAAACAAACAAACACCCCUGUGCUCCACUCCACUUAGUACAGUCUGGCUCCCUCUUGUAUUAAUUCAAUUGGAUUCUUCCACUUCCUGUUUGUCAGUCGGACCUUUGAUUGGGAGGCACCGGAGCGCGUGCUUCAAACAGCUCGGAGUCCAGUGUUGUCCCACCUGUCGUCGUCUCUUCAGGGCCUGUGGACCAUCCGAGCCUUUGGAGCAGAGGAGAGGUUCCAGAAAGCCUUCAAUGCCCAGCAGGACCUGCACUCAGAGGCCUGGUUCCUGUUGCUGACCACCUCUCGCUGGUUCGCUGUCCGUCUCCACGGCAUCUGCUCCAUCUUUGUUACCGUCACCACCUUUGGCUGCCUGCUGCUCAGAGACCUAGAUGGAGUUUGGAGAAGCAGACAGGAGUACCAGCACGGGAGCAAAGC